Molecule: ribosomal RNA, 324 nt
Filed under: Salmonella enterica subsp. enterica serovar Newport
Lineage: Bacteria; Pseudomonadati; Pseudomonadota; Gammaproteobacteria; Enterobacterales; Enterobacteriaceae
Description: bacterial LSU rRNA
Rfam family: Bacterial large subunit ribosomal RNA
Source: RNAcentral
UCUGUAAGCCUGUGAAGGUGUGUCGUGAGGCAUGCUGGAGGUAUCAGAAGUGCGAAUGCUGACAUAAGUAACGAUAAAGCGGGUGAAAAGCCCGCUCGCCGGAAGACCAAGGGUUCCUGUCCAACGUUAAUCGGGGCAGGGUGAGUCGACCCCUAAGGCGAGGCCGAAAGGCGUAGUCGAUGGGAAACAGGUUAAUAUUCCUGUACUUGGUGUUACUGCGAAGGGGGGACGGAGAAGGCUAUGUUGGCCGGGCGACGGUUGUCCCGGUUUAAGCGUGUAGGCUGGUUUUCCAGGCAAAUCCGGAAAAUCAAGGCUGAGGCGUGA